CACGUGGGCAACCUGCCCUCAGCUCUGGGAUAACUCCGGGAAACCGGGGCUAAUACCGGAUACGACCUUCACCGGCAUCGGUGGUGGUGGAAAGUUCUUCGGCUGAGGAUGGGCCCGCGGCCUAUCAGCUUGUUGGUGGGGUGAUGGCCUACCAAGGCGACGACGGGUAGCCGGCCUGAGAGGGCGACCGGCCACACUGGGACUGAGACACGGCCCAGACUCCUACGGGAGGCAGCAGUGGGGAAUAUUGCGCAAUGGGCGGAAGCCUGACGCAGCGACGCCGCGUGAGGGAUGAAGGCC
RNAcentral lists this ribosomal RNA (300 nucleotides) under uncultured Sporichthyaceae bacterium. RNAcentral describes it as "bacterial SSU rRNA". It matches the Rfam family "Bacterial small subunit ribosomal RNA", at positions 114 to 416 of the family's 1533-position model. Lineage: Bacteria; Bacillati; Actinomycetota; Actinomycetes; Sporichthyales; Sporichthyaceae. The record is from RNAcentral.